Molecule: ribosomal RNA, 591 nt
Filed under: Fusarium solani
Lineage: Eukaryota; Fungi; Ascomycota; Sordariomycetes; Hypocreales; Nectriaceae
Description: eukaryotic LSU rRNA
Rfam family: 5.8S ribosomal RNA (bases 205-358)
Source: RNAcentral
GGAAGUAAAAGUCGUAACAAGGUCUCCGUUGGUGAACCAGCGGAGGGAUCAUUACCGAGUUAUACAACUCAUCAACCCUGUGAACAUACCUAAAACGUUGCUUCGGCGGGAACAGACGGCCCUGUAACAACGGGCCGCCCCCGCCAGAGGACCCCUAACUCUGUUUUUAUAAUGUUUUUCUGAGUAAACAAGCAAAUAAAUUAAAACUUUCAACAACGGAUCUCUUGGCUCUGGCAUCGAUGAAGAACGCAGCGAAAUGCGAUAAGUAAUGUGAAUUGCAGAAUUCAGUGAAUCAUCGAAUCUUUGAACGCACAUUGCGCCCGCCAGUAUUCUGGCGGGCAUGCCUGUUCGAGCGUCAUUACAACCCUCAGGCCCCCGGGCCUGGCGUUGGGGAUCGGCGGAAGCCCCCUGUGGGCACACGCCGUCCCUCAAAUACAGUGGCGGUCCCGCCGCAGCUUCCAUUGCGUAGUAGCUAACACCUCGCAACUGGAGAGCGGCGCGGCCAUGCCGUAAAACACCCAACUUCUGAAUGUUGACCUCGAAUCAGGUAGGAAUACCCGCUGAACUUAAGCAUAUCAAUAAGCGGAGGAA